RNAcentral lists this long non-coding RNA (1280 nucleotides) under Monodelphis domestica (gray short-tailed opossum). RNAcentral's name for it is "lncRNA (ENSMODG00000038196.1)". Lineage: Eukaryota; Metazoa; Chordata; Mammalia; Didelphimorphia; Didelphidae. The record is from RNAcentral.
GAAGAAUUCAUUUUUCUGAGAUGGAGAAAACCUUACCAAAGCUGUAUAGGGAAUGCCAAUGCUGAUUAUUCUCAUUUUUAAAAUAAGGAAACUUGGAGUCUGAAAGAGGAUAAUAGGCAAGAAAGGCAGAGGCAUAGAUGAGAGAAUAGCAAUAAACCAGGGAUGAAGGGAGCCCUGGUGACAAAAAGGACAUGGGAUUCUCUCUGUGGUCAAGAAGAUGGCAGUGAGAGGGGUAAAUUCACUCACUUACCCAUGGUCCUCUUUGGAGAGUGGAGUACCAAGGGUGACAAGCCUCAGCUGGCUGAGAUUGAGGUUUGUUUGGGCCCCAUUGUCACAGCAACAAGGGAAUGUUUGGUAACAGAGCCAGUGAUCUCACAGAAGCUGGUCAUAGCGACACCUUGUUGAAGCUCAGGGAAGAGCAGAGCCAUCCAGGAGAGAACUUGGAGGAAGAGGAAGACAAUAGUUUCCUUGGAAGAGCUCUCAGGGAAGAGCAGAGCCAGCCAGGAGAGAAUGUGGAGGCAGAGGAAGACAAUAGUUCCCUUGGAAGAGCUGUGACUACUAGAAAAGUACUGUCCUGCUCAGGGAAGAGCAGAGCCAGCCAGGAGAGAAUGUGGAGGCAGAGGAAGACAAUAGUUCCCUUGGAAGAGCUGUGACUACUAAAAGUACUGUCCUGGUGAGUGUACUCUUUUUGUGACUUCUAGAAAAGUACUGUCCUGGUGUGUAUACUCUUUAUCUCUCAUCCAAAAUUUUGGGGGAGGGAGCAAGAGGGGAGGUCUGCUGGGGAAAGGGACCCACUGAGCCUCCACUCAGGUUUUUGCUGCUUGUAAAGAAAAAGACGGCCCCAAGUCCUAGUGCUGUGGGAGGAGGUGGGGGGUAGUGACUAGCCCAAGGUCACACAGAGUGUCACGUUAUUCAAAUACAGGAAAAUCUUGAUGCUGUAAAUUUAAAUCAAUAUCCAAUGACUCCAAGAAUUAGAUUUUCUAAGAUUUAAUAAUAAUUACUUGAAGCAGAAGGAGUAAAAGGAUAAAAGUAAAAGGCUAUGUACAGCCAGCUUUCCCAGCCACGUUCACAGGAAAAGAGAAGAGAGGGUGUGUGUCACACACAAACUUUAUCCCCAAAACUGAUGAAUGUAACAAAACAAAAGUGGAAUGCUGGGAAAGCAAAUCCUGAGGUUCAAAAUUGUAAUUACACAAUACUCACUUAAAAUGCCAGACUAAAGAAAAGACAGACAGACAGAGAGAUGAACAAAGAGACAAGAAUAAACCGCAGACAGAGAGACA